RNAcentral lists this ribosomal RNA (268 nucleotides) under uncultured bacterium. Its description in RNAcentral is "partial 16S ribosomal RNA". It matches the Rfam family "Bacterial small subunit ribosomal RNA", at positions 67 to 339 of the family's 1533-position model. The record is from RNAcentral.
CGGUAACAGGUCUUCGGAUGCUGACGAGUGGCGAACGGGUGAGUAAUAUAUCGGAACGUAUCCAUUUGUGGGGGAUAGCCCGGCGAAAGCCGGAUUAAUACCGCAUAAUCUCUGAGGAGGAAAGUGGGGGACCUUCGGGCCUUACGCUGAUGGAGCGGCUGAUGUCGGAUUAGCUAGUUGGUAGGGUAAAGGCCUACCAAGCCGACGAUCAGUAGCUGGUCUGAGAGGAUGAUCAGUCACACUGGAACUGAGACACGGUCCAGACUCC